GCUCGCAUGGCGUAGUUGGUAGCGCGCAUCACUAGUAUUCCUUUGCUAGAUUAUGAUGAGGUCCUCGGUUCGAAUCCGAGUGCGAGCA
Xylona heveae TC161 is the source of this 88-nucleotide transfer RNA. It matches the Rfam family "tRNA". Rfam says of the family: Transfer RNA (tRNA) molecules are approximately 80 nucleotides in length. Their secondary structure includes four short double-helical elements and three loops (D, anti-codon, and T loops). The record is from Rfam. NCBI's taxonomy places the organism in Eukaryota, Fungi, Ascomycota, Xylonomycetes, Xylonales, Xylonaceae.